Molecule: ribosomal RNA, 477 nt
Filed under: uncultured bacterium
Lineage: Bacteria
Description: partial 16S ribosomal RNA
Rfam family: Bacterial small subunit ribosomal RNA
Source: RNAcentral
AUUGAACGCUGGCGGCAUGCCUUACACAUGCAAGUCGAACGGUAACAGGUUAAGCUGACGAGUGGCGAACGGGUGAGUAAUGUAUCGGAACGUGCCCAGUCGUGGGGGAUAACUGCUCGAAAGAGCAGCUAAUACCGCAUACGACCUGAGGGUGAAAGCGGGGGAUCGCAAGACCUCGCGCGAUUGGAGCGGCCGAUAUCAGAUUAGGUAGUUGGUGAGGUAAAGGCUCACCAAGCCGACGAUCUGUAGCUGGUCUGAGAGGACGACCAGCCACACUGGGACUGAGACACGGCCCAGACUCCUACGGGAGGCAGCAGUGGGGAAUUUUGGACAAUGGGCGCAAGCCUGAUCCAGCCAUGCCGCGUGCGGGAAGAAGGCCUUCGGGUUGUAAACCGCUUUUGUCAGGGAAGAAAAGGUUCUGGCUAAUACCUGGGACUCAUGACGGUACCUGAAGAAUAAGCACCGGCUAACUGCGUG